GGAUGUGAGGGCGAUCUGCCUGCGACAUCUGUCACCCCAUUGAUCGCCAGGGUUGAUUCGGCUGAUCUGGCUGGCUAGGCAGGUGUCCCCUUCCUCCCUCACCGCUCCAUGUGCGUCCCUCCUGAAGCUGCGCGCUCGGUGGAAGAGGACGACCAUCCCAGAUAGAAGGAGUGUACCGUUCUUCGGUCAAGGGUAUACGAUAGCUGCGCUCCCCUGCUAGAACCUCCAAACAAGCUCAAGGUCCAAGUGUUAAGGUUUUAGUCUUAGUGUUAAAUUUAAGUAUGCUGCAACUGGAUUUCUU
Molecule: non-coding RNA, 301 nt
Organism: Podarcis lilfordi (Lilford's wall lizard)
Lineage: Eukaryota; Metazoa; Chordata; Lepidosauria; Squamata; Lacertidae
Source: the annotation of a GenBank genome assembly